UUUUCCAAUGCAUGGCAUUUUCAAAUUUCCAGACCUUCGUCCUGGACGACACCUAUUACAGGACCUAGCUCCCUGUUGUAUUUAUGAAAGUUUUUUUUUCCCUGAACUUGCAUUAAUAUUUGACACUGGAUGUUCAAAAAUCAUACAACUAGCUUCCAGUAAUUUUGAGUACUCUCAGAUCUGCGUGUAAUGACCACAAUUAUUCAAAUUCCUAAGCAGGUAGGGAUUUUACAGUAGAGGAUAUAAAGAAAUACGAAUUUCUUAAAUUUUGUAACGAUAGUAUGAACAGAACAUAACUUUUGCAUAAGGCAUCGACUAUGUGUGUAUGUGUUUGUGUGGCUAGGGUGGAGGUUUAAGAAUCAAAAGAUUGACGGUUUUUGUCUAGCCAAAAGGAUAGUUUUAUU
Molecule: long non-coding RNA, 404 nt
Filed under: Mytilus galloprovincialis (Mediterranean mussel)
Lineage: Eukaryota; Metazoa; Mollusca; Bivalvia; Mytilida; Mytilidae
Source: RNAcentral